UAGAUAGGAGCUUAUCAGAGUCAC
This 24-nucleotide non-coding RNA is filed under the name Mus musculus (house mouse). The record is from RNAcentral. Lineage: Eukaryota; Metazoa; Chordata; Mammalia; Rodentia; Muridae.